RNAcentral lists this ribosomal RNA (468 nucleotides) under uncultured bacterium. Its description in RNAcentral is "partial 16S ribosomal RNA". It matches the Rfam family "Bacterial small subunit ribosomal RNA", at positions 28 to 507 of the family's 1533-position model. The record is from RNAcentral.
GACGAACGCUGGCGGCGUGCUUAACACAUGCAAGUCGAACGGAAAGGCCCUGCUUUUGUGGGGUGCUCGAGUGGCGAAUGGGUGAGUAACACGUGAGUAACCUGCCCUUGACUUUGGGAUAACUUCAGGAAACUGGGGCUAAUACCGGAUAGGAGCUCCUGCUGCAUGGUGGGGGUUGGAAAGUUUCGGCGGUUGGGGAUGGACUCGCGGCUUAUCAGCUUGUUGGUGGGGUAGUGGCUUACCAAGGCUUUGACGGGUAGCCGGCCUGAGAGGGUGACCGGCCACAUUGGGACUGAGAUACGGCCCAGACUCCUGCGGGAGGCAGCAGUGGGGAAUAUUGCACAAUGGGCGGAAGCCUGAUGCAGCAACGCCGCGUGCGGGAUGACGGCCUUCGGGUUGUAAACCGCUUUCGCCUGUGACGAAGCGUGAGUGACGGUAAUGGGUAAAGAAGCACCGGCUAACUACGUG